Molecule: ribosomal RNA, 468 nt
Filed under: uncultured bacterium
Lineage: Bacteria
Description: partial 16S ribosomal RNA
Rfam family: Bacterial small subunit ribosomal RNA
Source: RNAcentral
GACGAACGCUGGCGGCGUGCUUAACACAUGCAAGUCGAACGGAAAGGCCCUGCUUUUGUGGGGUGCUCGAGUGGCGAACGGGUGAGUAAUACGUGAGUAACCUGCCCUUGACUUUGGGAUAACUUCAGGAAACUGGGGCUAAUACCGGAUAGGAGCUCCUGCUGCAUGGGGGGGGUUGGAAAGUUUCGGCGGUUGGGGAUGGACUCGCGGCUUAUCAGCUUGUUGGUGGGGUAGUGGCUUACCAAGGCUUUGACGGGUAGCCGGCCUGAGAGGGUGACCGGCCACAUUGGGACUGCGAUACGGCCCAGACUCCUACGGGCGGCAGCAGUGGGGAAUAUUGCACAAUGGGCGGAAGCCUGAUGCAGCAACGCCGCGUGCGGGAUGACGGCCUUCGGGUUGUAAACCGCUUUCGCCUGUGACGAAGCGUGCGUGACGGUAAUGGGUAAAGAAGCACCGGCUAACUACGUG